GAUGAACGCUGGCGGCGUGCUUAACACAUGCAAGUCGAACGGUGAAGCCAAGCUUGCUUGGUGGUUCAGUGGCGAACGGGUGAGUAACACGUGAGCAACCUGCCCUGGACUCUGGGAUAAGCGCUGGAAACGGCGUCUAAUACUGGAUAUUAGCCUCUUCCGCAUGGUGGGGGUUGGAAAGAUUUUUUGGUUUGGGAUGGGCUCGCGGCCUAUCAGCUUGUUGGUGAGGUAAUGGCUCACCAAGGCGUCGCCGGGUAGCCGGCCUGAGAGGGUGACCGGCCACAAGGGGACUGAGACACGGCCCAGACUCCUACGGGAGGCAGCAGUGGGGAAUAUUGCACAAUGGGCGAAAGCCUGAUGCAGAAACGCCGCGUGAGGGAUGACGGCCUUCGGGUUGUAAACCUCUUUGAGCAGGGAAGAAGCGAAAGUGACGGUACCUGCAGAAAAAGCGCCGGCUAACUACGUG
This 466-nucleotide ribosomal RNA is filed under the name uncultured bacterium. Its description in RNAcentral is "partial 16S ribosomal RNA". It matches the Rfam family "Bacterial small subunit ribosomal RNA", at positions 28 to 507 of the family's 1533-position model. The record is from RNAcentral.